UCAAAGGGCGCUGUGGUCUUUCGGGAUUACAGGGCACUGGCGCACGGGUGAGUAACGCGUAGGCAACCUGUCCUAUGGUGGGGGACAACAUCGGGAAACCGGUGCUAAUACCGCAUGUGGAUGCGAUCUCGCAUGGGAUUGUAUCCAAAGAUCUUCGGAUCGCUAUAGGGUGGGCCUGCGUCGUAUUAGUUAGUUGGUGGGGUAGAAGCCCACCAAGACGAUGAUACGUAGGGGGUCUGAGAGGAUGAUCCCCCACACGGGGACUGAGACACGGCCCCGACUCCUACGGGAGGCAGCAGUGAGGAAUCUUGCGCAAUGGAGGAAACUCUGACGCAGCCACGCCGCGUGCAGGAAGACGGUUCUCUGAAUUGUAAACUGCUUUUGACAGGGAAGAGUGUCUGGGUUUCGACCUAGAAGAGACGGUACCUGUUCGAAUAAGCACCGGCUAACUCCGUGCCAGCAGCCGCGGUAAUACGGAGGGUGCAAGCGUUGUCCGGAAUUAUUGGGUGUAAAGGGUGCGCAGGCGGGAAUGUAAGUCGGGGGUGAAAGGCUACCGCUCAACGGUAGGAUUGCCUUCGAUACUGCAUUUCUUGAGUAUGGAAGAGGUCGAUGGAAUUGGUGGUGUAGCGGUGAAAUGCAUAGAUAUCACCAAGAACACCGGUGGUGAAGACGCUCGGCUGGUCCAUUACUGACGCUCAGGCACGAGAGCGUGGGGAGCGAACAGGAU
RNAcentral lists this ribosomal RNA (727 nucleotides) under Balneola sp. br5_27f. RNAcentral describes it as "bacterial SSU rRNA". It matches the Rfam family "Bacterial small subunit ribosomal RNA", at positions 62 to 778 of the family's 1533-position model. The record is from RNAcentral. Lineage: Bacteria; Pseudomonadati; Balneolota; Balneolia; Balneolales; Balneolaceae.